This 224-nucleotide long non-coding RNA is filed under the name Coffea arabica (coffee). RNAcentral's name for it is "long non-coding RNA (CARA_LNC002290)". The record is from RNAcentral. Lineage: Eukaryota; Viridiplantae; Streptophyta; Magnoliopsida; Gentianales; Rubiaceae.
UCUAACACGAUUCCCAAGAAGAAGAAGCCAGUCAUUGCUGUGAAGAUGAUUUUUGAUUUGAAGACUACAAGGCCUAUCGUGCUCAUGUUUUGUUCUAGAUGGGAAUCGUGCUCAUAUUUUUGUAUAGAACAUUACUACUCUCUAUUGUGGAUGGGAAAUCACUAGUAUUAUAACUGAAUGACUUAUUUUGGAUGGUGCAUGGUUUAUGACUCAUUUGAGGCAAC